RNAcentral lists this ribosomal RNA (464 nucleotides) under uncultured bacterium. RNAcentral's name for it is "partial 16S ribosomal RNA". It matches the Rfam family "Bacterial small subunit ribosomal RNA", at positions 28 to 507 of the family's 1533-position model. The record is from RNAcentral.
GACGAAUGCUGGCGGCGUGCUUAACACAUGCAAGUCGAACGGAAGGGCCCUGCUUGCAGGGUACUCGAGUGGCGAACGGGUGAGUAACACGCGGGUGAUCUGCCCUGCUCUUCGGGAUAAGCCUGGGCAACUGGGUCUAAUACCGGCUAGGAGCCAUUUUUAGUCCGAUGGUUGGAAAGUUUUUUCGGUUUAGGCUGAGCGCUCGGCCUAUCAGCUUGUUGGUGUGGUAAUGUCCUACCAAGGCGGCGUCGGGUAGCCGACCUGCGAGGGGGGACGGCCACAUGGGGACUGAGAGACGGCGCAGACUGCAACGGGAGGCAGUAGUCGAGAAUAUUGCACAAUGAGCGCAAGCCUGAUGCAGCGACGCCGGGUGGGGGAUGACGGCCUACGGGUUGUAAACACCUUUCGCUAGAGACGAAGAUUUUGUGACGGUACCUAGAUAAAAAGCACCGGCUAACUACGUG